AUUGAACGCUGGCGGCAGGCCUAACACAUGCAAGUCGAACGGAAGAACGGGGCUUGCUCCUGGAUUCAGCGGCAGUCGGGUGAGUAAUGCGUAGGAAUCUGACUCGUAGUGGGGGCUAACGUCAGGAAACGGGCGCUAAUACUGCAUCCGUCUUGCGGGAGCAAGUGAGGGAUCUUCGUACCUCGCGCUAUCAUGUUAGCAUAUGUCGGAUUAGCUAGUUGGUGGGGUAAGGGCCUACCAAGGCGACGAUCCGUAACUGGUCUGAGAGGAUGAUCAGUCACACUGGAACUGAGACACGGUCCAGACUCCUACGGGAGGCAGCAGUGGGGAAUAUUGGACAAAGGGCGCAAGCCUGAUCCAGCCAUGCCGCGUGGGUGAAGAAGGUCUUCGGGUUGUAAAGCACUUUUAUUUGGGAGGAAGUGCAUUAAGCUAAUACCGUGGGGUUAUGACGGUACCAAAAGAAUAAGCACCGGCUAACUUCGUG
This 484-nucleotide ribosomal RNA is filed under the name uncultured bacterium. RNAcentral's name for it is "partial 16S ribosomal RNA". It matches the Rfam family "Bacterial small subunit ribosomal RNA", at positions 30 to 507 of the family's 1533-position model. The record is from RNAcentral.